This 373-nucleotide ribosomal RNA is filed under the name uncultured eukaryote. RNAcentral's name for it is "partial 18S ribosomal RNA". It matches the Rfam family "Eukaryotic small subunit ribosomal RNA", at positions 592 to 976 of the family's 1831-position model. The record is from RNAcentral.
CAAUAGCGUAUAUUAAAGUUGUUGCAGUUAAAAAGCUCGUAGUUGAAUUUUUGCUUGCCGCCGAUGUCGGAACUUCCGUACGUUCGGCGGCGUGCAUCCUUGGGUGGAACCUGUGUGGCAUUAGGUUGUCGUGCAGGGGAUGCUCAUCGUUUACUGUGAAAAAAUUAGAGUGUUCAAAGCAGGCUUACGCCGUUGAAUAUAUUAGCAUGGAAUAAUAAGAUAGGACCUUGGUACUAUGUUGUUGGUUUGCGCACCGAGGUAAUGAUUAACAGGGACAGUUGGGGGUAUUCGUAUUCCAUUGUCAGAGGUGAAAUUCUUGGAUUUCUGGAAGACGAACUACUGCGAAAGCAUUUACCAAGGAUGUUUUCAUUAA